CUACGGGGGGCACCAGUGGGGAAUCUUAGACAAUGGGCGCAAGCCUGAUCUAGCCAUGCCGCGUGAGCGAUGAAGGCCUUAGGGUUGUAAAGCUCUUUCAGCGAGGAAGAUAAUGACUGUACUCGCAGAAGAAGCCCCGGCUAACUCCGUGCCAGCAGCCGCGGGUAAUACGGAGGGGGCUAGCGUUGUUCGGAAUUACUGGGCGUAAAGCGCACGUAGGCGGAUCAGAAAGUCAGAGGUGAAAUCCCAGGGCUCAACCUUGGAACUGCCUUUGAAACUCCUGAUCUUGAGUUCGAGAGAGGUGAGUGGAAUUCCGAGUGUAGAGGUGAAAUUCGUAGAUAUUCGGAGGAACACCAGUGGCGAAGGCGGCUCACUGGCUCGAUACUGACGCUGAGGUGCGAAAGCGUGGGGAGCAAACAGGAUUAGAUACCCCAGUAGUC
Molecule: ribosomal RNA, 440 nt
Filed under: uncultured bacterium
Lineage: Bacteria
Description: partial 16S ribosomal RNA
Rfam family: Bacterial small subunit ribosomal RNA
Source: RNAcentral